GCCUACGGCCACACCACCCUGAACAUACCUGAUCUCGUCUGAUCUCGGAAGCUAAGCAGGGUUGGGCCUGGUUAGUACCUGGAUGGGAGAGAGAAGUGCUUGUUUCUCAGAAC
This is a ribosomal RNA of Aotus nancymaae (Ma's night monkey), 113 nucleotides long. Lineage: Eukaryota; Metazoa; Chordata; Mammalia; Primates; Aotidae. The record is from Ensembl.